AUUACUAUUGUAUAUUAAUAAAAUACGUGUGUUUGGAAAUAAUAUAAAAUCUUAUCGUAUAUUCUUUAUUUUUUUAUUUUAAAAAUAAUGUAAUAAGUUUUAUAUUAAAAUUAUCUAUUAGUUUUUAGAAAUUAUUUUAUUAUUUUAUUAAAGAAUUGUUUUAUAUUUAUAUAAAAUAGAUAAUCUAUGAAAUUAUUUAUGAACAUAAAAAUAAUAAUAAUUUUAAAUAUUAUUAUUAUUA
This 241-nucleotide transfer RNA is filed under the name Pneumocystis jirovecii. Its description in RNAcentral is "tRNA-Pseudo(GGA)". Lineage: Eukaryota; Fungi; Ascomycota; Pneumocystomycetes; Pneumocystales; Pneumocystaceae. The record is from RNAcentral.